This 372-nucleotide ribosomal RNA is filed under the name uncultured organism. RNAcentral's name for it is "bacterial SSU rRNA". It matches the Rfam family "Bacterial small subunit ribosomal RNA", at positions 526 to 896 of the family's 1533-position model. The record is from RNAcentral.
CGUAGGGUGCGAGCGUUAAUCGGAAUUACUGGGCGUAAAGUGUGCGCAGGCGGCCGCGCAAGUCGAGUGUGAAAGCCCCGAGCUUAACUUGGGAACUGCGCUCGAAACUACGUGGCUGGAGUGUGGCAGAGGAAGGUGGAAUUCCAGGUGUAGCGGUGAAAUGCGUAGAGAUCUGGAGGAACACCGAUGGCGAAGGCAGCCUUCUGGGCCAACACUGACGCUCAUGCACGAAAGCGUGGGGAGCAAACAGGAUUAGAUACCCUGGUAGUCCACGCCCUAAACGAUGAUGACUAGUUGUUGGAGGAGUUAAAUCCUUUAGUAACGCAGCUAACGCGUGAAGUCAUCCGCCUGGGGAGUACGGUCGCAAGAUUA